CCUACGGGUGACAGCAGUGGGGAAUAUUGGACAAUGGGCGAAAGCCUGAUCCAGCCAUGCCGCGUGUGUGAAGAAGGCCUUCGGGUUGUAAAGCACUUUCAGUGGGGAAGAAAGCCUUGGGGCUAAUACCCUCGAGGAAGGACAUCACCCACAGAAGAAGCACCGGCUAACUCCGUGCCAGCAGCCGCGGUAAUACGGAGGGUGCGAGCGUUAAUCGGAAUUACUGGGCGUAAAGCGCGCGUAGGCGGUCUGAUAAGCCGGUUGUGAAAGCCCCGGGCUCAACCUGGGAACGGCAUCCGGAACUGUCAGGCUAGAGUGCAGGAGAGGAAGGUAGAAUUCCCGGUGUAGCGGUGAAAUGCGUAGAGAUCGGGAGGAAUACCAGUGGCGAAGGCGGCCUUCUGGACUGACACUGACGCUGAGGUGCGAAAGCAUGGGUAGCAAACAGGAUUAGAUACCCCUGUAGUC
Molecule: ribosomal RNA, 465 nt
Filed under: Vreelandella stevensii
Lineage: Bacteria; Pseudomonadati; Pseudomonadota; Gammaproteobacteria; Oceanospirillales; Halomonadaceae
Description: partial 16S ribosomal RNA
Rfam family: Bacterial small subunit ribosomal RNA
Source: RNAcentral